This 292-nucleotide signal recognition particle RNA is filed under the name Phascolarctos cinereus (koala). RNAcentral describes it as "Metazoan signal recognition particle RNA (ENSPCIG00000035847.1)". It matches the Rfam family "Metazoan signal recognition particle RNA". From Rfam's summary of the family: The signal recognition particle (SRP) is a universally conserved ribonucleoprotein. It is involved in the co-translational targeting of proteins to membranes. The record is from RNAcentral. Lineage: Eukaryota; Metazoa; Chordata; Mammalia; Diprotodontia; Phascolarctidae.
GCUGGGUAUAUUGGUAUGUGCCUCUAUAAUCCCUGUUACAGGGAGGCUGAAGCUGGUGGAUUACUUGAGCUCAGGAGUUCUGAGCUACAGUAGAUUAAGCCAAUUUGGUGUCCACACUAAGUUGGGCAACAAUAUGAUGAGCCUCCUAGAUUGGGAGACCCCCAGGCUGCCUAAGGAGGGGCAAAAUGGCCCAGGCUGGAAAUAGACCAGUCUGGGGUAUAUAAAGCAAUGGAAUCAGGCCUAGGAGUGGCCACUACACUUCCUGCCUGAGUGAAAUAGAGACCCAGUUUUU